RNAcentral lists this ribosomal RNA (502 nucleotides) under uncultured bacterium. Its description in RNAcentral is "partial 16S ribosomal RNA". It matches the Rfam family "Bacterial small subunit ribosomal RNA", at positions 28 to 507 of the family's 1533-position model. The record is from RNAcentral.
GACGAACGCUGGCGGCGUGCCUAAUACAUGCAAGUCGAACGAACCGCGACUAGGUGCUUGCACUUGGUCAAGGUGAGUGGCGAACGGGUGAGUAACACGUGGGUAACCUACCUCAUAGUGGGGGAUAACAGUCGGAAACGACUGCUAAUACCGCAUAGGACAUAGGAUCACAUGAUCCAGUGAGGAAAGGUGGCGCAAGCUAUCGCUAAGAGAUGGACCCGCGGUGCAUUAGCUAGUUGGUAGGGUAAAGGCCUACCAAGGCGAUGAUGCAUAGCCGACCUGAGAGGGUGAUCGGCCACAUGGGGACUGAGACACGGCCCAAACUCCUACGGGAGGCAGCAGUAGGGAAUCUUCCGCAAUGGACGCAAGUCUGACGGAGCAACGCCGCGUGAGUGAAGAAGGUCUUCGGAUCGUAAAGCUCUGUUGUUAGAGAAGAACAGCGCAUAGAGUAACUGUUAUGCGUGUGACGGUAUCUAACCAGAAAGCCACGGCUAACUACGUG